Non-coding RNA from Castor canadensis (American beaver), 756 nucleotides. The record is from RefSeq and is a predicted model, not a curated record. NCBI's taxonomy places the organism in Eukaryota, Metazoa, Chordata, Mammalia, Rodentia, Castoridae.
UGAAGCUGCAGGUGUCUGGCUCUUCACAGAAGCAGUUGGCCAACCUCUGGUCUCCUACAGUGCUGGGGAUCUGUGUGCAUUUGUAGAUGGGGUGAAAACUUUCCGCCUCCUCUAUUCCCCCUGCACUUCUGCCCUGUUCUUCGAUUCCACAGGGCCACAGUCUUUAACCGAGAUGCUUGUGUGUCCAUUUCACGCUGCUCUGUCUUAGACUAAUUGUUCCCAUUUUUCUGUCUACUUCCCUCCCAGUCCCCAGCCAGGAUGAAAGGAGGCCCAGGAGUCAACCCAAAGACCCAGUUGUCAAACGGAGACCUGAGGAAACAGAACCCGAGCAAGUAACUCCACAGACUUCUGAUGACAGAGAUGAGGACGAAAAGGAGGAGAAGAGGCGCAAAACUACACCCAAAGAACCAACUGAGAAAAAAGUGGCUCGGACCAAAACCGUGGUAAACGCCAAGGCCCAGCCGCCCAGGUGUGUCCAGUGUGGCCAGUACCUGGACGACGUCGACCUUAAGUACGAGCAGCACCCUCCUGAUGCACUGGAGGAGCCUCAGAUGCUGACCAAUGAGAAGCUGUCCAUCUUUGACGCCAAUGAGUCUGGCUUUGAGAGUUAUGAGGCCUUCCCCCAGCACAAGCUGACGUGCUUCAGUGUGUACUGUAAGCGAGGUCACCUGUGCCCGAUUGACACUGGCCUGAUUGAGAAGAAUGUCGAGCUCUUCUUUUCUGGCUCAGCCAAACCAACUAUGAGGACAACCCAUC